Molecule: ribosomal RNA, 775 nt
Filed under: uncultured Neocallimastigales
Lineage: Eukaryota; Fungi; Neocallimastigomycota; Neocallimastigomycetes; Neocallimastigales
Description: partial large subunit ribosomal RNA
Rfam family: Eukaryotic large subunit ribosomal RNA
Source: RNAcentral
CAUAGCGACUAUCGUGGCAUAUCAAUAAGCGGAGGAAAAGAAACUAACAAGGAUUCCCUUAGUAACGGCGAGUGAAGCGGGAAGAGCUCAAAUUUGAAAUCUUCAAGGUUUUACCUUGACGAAUUGUAGUUUAAAGAAGUGUUUUCUGUUGAAGUUUUGGUAAAAGUUCUUUGGAAUAGGACAUCAUAGAGGGUGAGAAUCCCGUAUUUGACCAUUAUUUUCAGCUGUGUGAUACACUUUCAAAGAGUCGGAUUGUUUGGGAAUGCAGUCCAAAAUGGGUGGUAAAUUUCAUCUAAAGCUAAAUAUUGGCGAGAGACCGAUAGCGAACAAGUACCGUGAGGGAAAGAUGAAAAGAACUUUGAAAAGAGAGUUAAACAGUACGUGAAAUUGUCAAAAGGGAAGCGUUUGACACCAGUGUUGUUUUCUCGAAAAUCAAUUAAAAAAGGCCGGAUUUUGUGUUGUAUUGACCUUAAAAGCUUUCUUCACUCUUUUCUUGUCUUUUUUAAUGCACUUUUCGUUUAACAAGUCAACAUCAGUUUCUUUUGUUGUAAAAGGGUCAUUGGAAGGUGGCUUUCUUUUCGGAGAAAGUGUUUAUAGCCUUUGAUCUCUGCAACCGGAGAGACUGAGGUCUGCAGCGUAGACUCUUCGGGGUUAGAUACAUUUGUGCUAAGCUAUAGCUUUUUAUAGACAACUUGUUGACUAUAUUUAGUCUUGUGGCUUACUCGCUUAUGCUACUUUUACCUACGCUUAGGAUGUUGAUAGUCACAGCGUGUAC